RNAcentral lists this long non-coding RNA (533 nucleotides) under Gallus gallus (chicken). Lineage: Eukaryota; Metazoa; Chordata; Aves; Galliformes; Phasianidae. The record is from RNAcentral.
GCAAUUUCUGAUACGUCUUUGCCUGCAAAAAAGAUCCCAAAAACUUGGAGCCAAGACAUUUUGUUGACAACUCACUAAUGAGGAUUUUCAGUUCCAUGGACUGACUGAUCAAGAGCACAGUUAUUUUAAACAUUACCUUAUUUGAACAUAUGAACUGUGAUUUAAUGGGACAUGCAAUAAGAUAAUACUAAACAUGUACGUAUGUCUUCUCCACUACUUUCUUAUACAUAUGAAACAUCUCAGCUGGAGGAAUUAUAAAUGUACUUCUCUUACUUUACCAAGAAGAACAGCCAUUUUAUGACGCCAUCUGCCUUUAUUCAAGGAGGCAACUCUGAUCCAAAUGUUAAGCUGAGAGUUAUAAAUCCAUACAUCCCGACUAUUGAUUCUUCCACCUGAAACAAGGAUAUCAUUCCGUAGGGCACACACUGCAUACUCAGACUUGGUAAACUCUGGAAGUUUGGCCAGUGAUUUCCAUUCUCCUGUUACAGGAUCGUAGCACUCGGUGUAUGGCAAGUUAAACCCUCCAACUCUUU